UACGAAGGGGGCUAGCGUUGCUCGGAAUCACUGGGCGUAAAGCGCACGUAGGCGGAUCUUUAAGUCAGGGGUGAAAUCCCGGAGCUCAACUCCGGAACUGCCUUUGAUACUGGGGAUCUUGAGUCCGGAAGAGGUGAGUGGAACUGCGAGUGUAGAGGUGAAAUUCGUAGAUAUUCGCAAGAACACCAGUGGCGAAGGCGGCUCACUGGUCCGGUACUGACGCUGAGGUGCGAAAGCGUGGGGAGCAAACAGG
This 253-nucleotide ribosomal RNA is filed under the name uncultured bacterium. Its description in RNAcentral is "partial 16S ribosomal RNA". It matches the Rfam family "Bacterial small subunit ribosomal RNA", at positions 524 to 776 of the family's 1533-position model. The record is from RNAcentral.